UACGGAGGGUGCGAGCGUUGUCCGGAAUCACUGGGCGUAAAGGGCGCGUAGGUGGCGACCCAAGUCGAUGGUGAAAGCUCGCCGCUCAACGGCGAGUCGGCCACCGAUACUGGGUUGCUGGAGCACUGUAGAGGCUCAUGGAAUUCCGGGUGUAGCGGUGGAAUGCGUAGAGAUCCGGAAGAACACCGGUGGCGAAGGCGGUCUGCUGGGCAGUAGCUGACACUGAGGCGUGACAGCGUGGGGGAGCAAAC
RNAcentral lists this ribosomal RNA (251 nucleotides) under uncultured bacterium. RNAcentral's name for it is "partial 16S ribosomal RNA". It matches the Rfam family "Bacterial small subunit ribosomal RNA", at positions 524 to 773 of the family's 1533-position model. The record is from RNAcentral.